CCGACCUUAGCUCAGUUGGUAGAGCGGAAGACUGUAGUUGGUGCUGUAAUCUUUAGGUCGCUGGUUCGAAUCCGGCAGGUCGGA
Molecule: non-coding RNA, 84 nt
Organism: Solanum tuberosum (potato)
Lineage: Eukaryota; Viridiplantae; Streptophyta; Magnoliopsida; Solanales; Solanaceae
Source: Rfam